GCAUAUCAAUAAGCGGAGGAAAAGAAAAUAACAAUGAUUCCCUUAGUAACGGCGAGUGAAGGGGGAUAAGCUCAAAUUUUAAAUCUGCUAGGUCUUACCUAUCAGAGUUGUAAUUUGAAGAAGCGUUUUCCGCGUCUCGGUUGACCCAAAUCCUUUGGGAUAUGGUAUCAUGGAGGGUGAGAAUCCCGUUCGGUUGACCUUAUGACGCUUUACGAUACGUUUUCAAAGAGUCGAGUUGUUUGGGAUUGCAGCUCAAAAUGGGAGGUAAAUUUCUCCUAAGGCUAAAUAUUGGCGAGAGACCGAUAGCGAACAAGUACCGUGAGGGAAAGAUGAAAAGAACUUUGAAAAGAGAGUAAAAUAGUACGUGAAAUUGUUGAAAGGGAAAUGAUUGAAGUCAGUCGUACCGACGGAAAAUCAGCUUUUCGAGUGCGGACUUGUGGGUUUACGUGAGCUUUACGGCCUCGUUGUUUGCAAUGUUCGUUCUUUUUGGGUGUACUUUUUCGUAUGGUUGGCCAAUAUCAGUUUCGAUCGCCAUAAAAUGACCGGCGGAAUGUAGCUUCGAUCUCGUAUUGAAGUGUUAUAGCCUCUGGUAGAUGUGGUGAUUGGGACUGAGGAUUGCAACGAAUACCUUUUUGGGCUAUCCGUCUGAUCUCUGAAAGUUGCUUAGGUGCCGAAAGCGUGCUUACGGUUAUUUAAGUUGACGGUCAAAAGGUUAGAACGUGAUUAUAUUCGUUAAGGAUGUUGACGUA
This 749-nucleotide ribosomal RNA is filed under the name uncultured Glomerales. RNAcentral describes it as "LSU rRNA". It matches the Rfam family "Eukaryotic large subunit ribosomal RNA", at positions 38 to 633 of the family's 3401-position model. Lineage: Eukaryota; Fungi; Glomeromycota; Glomeromycetes; Glomerales; Glomeraceae. The record is from RNAcentral.